This 853-nucleotide ribosomal RNA is filed under the name uncultured fungus. RNAcentral's name for it is "eukaryotic LSU rRNA". The stretch from base 394 to 554 matches the Rfam family "5.8S ribosomal RNA". The record is from RNAcentral. Lineage: Eukaryota; Fungi.
AAAGUCGUAACAAGGUUUCCGUAGGUGAACCUGCGGAAGGAUCAUUAUACGCUUUUGUUUGUACACAAAACAAAACGUUUUAAACUCCAAAAUAAAUAGUGGAAAUAUAACUUCCGGAUGCGAAUGUUGGGGAACUGAGUAAAAUUGGUUCUUUGAAAAAGGGACUUCAAGCAAUUGACACUUCAGAGUAGAGCAGUGAGGUGAAAUUCUCUUUUCGAAGAGAGUUUGGUUCUGAAAAACAUUUGGUAUCCGGUUAUCAUAAUCUGUUCUACAACCCCAAAAUAUCAACCAAUAAACCCCAUGUAAAACAACUUGAACUAAACAAAUUUUUUUUGUUGUCUAUUCUUGCACUUGUGUGAGAAGAUGCAAAGAAAAAACCUGAACUUAAGAACAACUCUUAAACAACGGAUAUCUUGGUUCUCGUAUCGAUGAAGAACGCAGCGAAAUGCGAUACGUAAUGCGAAUUGCCAGAAUUCAGUGAAAUCAUCAAAUCUUUGGAACGCAAGAUUGGCGCUCUGCGGGAUAGGCCUGAGAGCACGCCUCUUUGAGUAUCGAUUCCACCACUUCCAGAACAAACUUUGUUUUGACACUGGGAAUUUGAGUGAUUCAUAUCUCUUUGUUGAGAUGUGUCACUUGAAGCGGAAUGGAAUUGAGGGUCUGCGAAACUGCUGUUGAAUAUUCAUAGGCUGAAGUGGACUUGAAACAUGGAUAAAUUUCCAAUGAUCAAUAAACUUUGGCUAUUUUGAUAUCAGCGAAUCUAAAGUUUUGCAAACAAACAGCCCUCUCCUAACUAAUACCUAAAACUAUCUAAGAAUUAGAUCUCAAAUGAAGCGAGACAACCCGCUGAACUUAA